Molecule: ribosomal RNA, 268 nt
Filed under: uncultured bacterium
Lineage: Bacteria
Description: partial 16S ribosomal RNA
Rfam family: Bacterial small subunit ribosomal RNA
Source: RNAcentral
AGAUGGCGACCGGCGCACGGGUGAGUAACACGUAUCCAACCUGCCGAUAACUCGGGGAUAGCCUUUCGAAAGAAAGAUUAAUACCCGAUGGCAUAAUGAUUCCGCAUGGUUUCAUUAUUAAAGGAUUCCGGUAAAGGAUGGGGAUGCGUUCCAUUAGGUUGUUGGUGAGGUAACGGCUCACCAAGCCUUCGAUGGAUAGGGGUUCUGAGAGGAAGGUCCCCCACAUUGGAACUGAGACACGGUCCAAACUCCUACGGGAGGCAGCAUG